RNAcentral lists this ribosomal RNA (448 nucleotides) under uncultured bacterium. RNAcentral's name for it is "bacterial SSU rRNA". It matches the Rfam family "Bacterial small subunit ribosomal RNA", at positions 329 to 794 of the family's 1533-position model. The record is from RNAcentral.
GGCCAGACUCCUACGGGAGGCAGCAGUGGGGAAUAUUGCACAAUGGGGGAAACCCUGAUGCAGCGACGCCGCGUGAGCGAUGAAGUAUUUCGGUAUGUAAAGCUCUAUCAGCAGGGAAGAAGAUGGCGGUACCUGACUAAGAAGCCCCGGCUAACUACGUGCCAGCAGCCGCGGUAAUACGUAGGGGGCAAGCGUUAUCCGGAUUUACUGGGUGUAAAGGGAGCGUAGACGGCGAUGCAAGCCAGAUGUGAAAGCCCGGGGCUCAACCCCGGGACUGCAUUUGGAACUGUGUGGCUGGAGUGUCGGAGAGGCAGGCGGAAUUCCGUGUGUAGCGGUGAAAUGCGUAGAUAUACGGAGGAACACCAGUGGCGAAGGCGGCCUGCUGGACAUUAACUGACGCUGAGGCGCGAAAGCGUGGGGAGCAAACAGGAUUAGAUACCCCGGUACA